This 2130-nucleotide long non-coding RNA is filed under the name Gallus gallus (chicken). Its description in RNAcentral is "lncRNA (ENSGALG00010008651.1)". The record is from RNAcentral. Lineage: Eukaryota; Metazoa; Chordata; Aves; Galliformes; Phasianidae.
CACUCUCUACAAUAACCUGAUAGGAGGUUGCAUUGAGGAGGUAACAGUGAUGGAACAAGAGUAUGCUUGCGCACCUCACGUCCCAAAUCUGUGGAAAUGAUCCUGGUUGCAUAUGUCAGUAAGGAUAGACGAAGGAACAAAAAGUGAAGACACUGAAACAUAGCUGCAAAGUAAUUCCUGACUUAGUGAGGGUAAUUCUCCUGCAUCAUUCCUUCAGAAACAUCAAACACAUUUGUUAACUGUAUAACGAGAAGGCAAAUCCCUGACAGAAAUUGGAAAAAUAAAGGGAAUCAACUUGAAGUCCCACAGUCAGAGAACAAAAGAAAGCUUAAAUAGAAGGAAGAAGCCCAUUCAAGUCAGCUACAGGAGCUGCCUACUCAAGCCAAAAACCUUGGGGUGAAUAAUGAGUUCCUGCCACAAAGCACCUCACCUUUUAAUGUAAUUUAUGAAAUGCAGCAGUUAUUUGUUGCUGUGGAGAUUAAUAACAACCACUUACAGAUAUGUGUAUGUAUGGUCCAGCAAGAGAUUACCAUUUCUUAUACAGUAGGAUAGAUUGCACAAUCAAAAAAUUUAUCCCUAGCAUUUCUAUGAUUUCUUUAGCUCUCUGUGGUGGAGAUGGAAAGACAUCUGCAGAAAACCGUCCCUGUUUCCUGUGUCAGGCAUUCAGCCAGAACAACUAUGUACAUCCAGCGUCUUCAUCAUUACACUUCUAAGUGAAGUCACACUAUGAAAACACACACUGUGAUUAAUAUAUGGGUGCAGUCAAGUCCCAGUUUUCCCUAGUAAAGGGAGUGCUGUAACUAGGCAAGAAAGCACUCCAGGGUAUGUAUUAACUCAGGUGUGCAGAAAGGCAUGAAACAUUAGGCUGAGUAAUUUUAAACAUGUGAGCAAUAUAUUAAUGGAUAAUUAAUAUGUGCCCUAGAGUGUAUAUAGCUCUUAGUCACAGUAAUAAAGCACAUUCCUAACAAUAAAUAAUUGCUAUCUUUGCAAACAAAAGGAAAACUCAGGGAUGUAUUGAGACAUUAGGUGUAGAAUUUUGGAAAAUGCCGAUUUAAGUAGUGCUCUAGGCUGUGCCUACAUACUAUGCUAUUCACAUUUGCUGAGUGAUGUACUUGUACAACUUGGUUUGUACUUUCACACACUCAAGUACAAAUCAACACUGCAGGGUUUAGAUUACGUGUCUGGGUUCAUUUGGAUUCAAAUAGCGUGAUAUGUUGACCAACUACGCAGGGUUACUCUCCUAUCAUUUAAGCACCUCAGAUUAACUUGUGUGUCAGCGUGGUCCAUCAGUAUUCAGAGUAAAUGAGAACCUCUUUAUCCUAGAUGAUCAGUGACCUCCAGAGCCAAUUCCACAAAAUGCAGCUUGCUGAGAAGGUCAGUGAUACUUUGAACAAUGGGCUCUGGAUCCACCUGAGAACAAGCUGCAUCUUCUGUAAUAGGCAAAGGCGUACCAGCUGGCAGUAGGCUAAACAUUUUUUUCCAGUCUCAUCAUACCAAAAAGAGAAGACAUUUUUUCUUUCGGAGGAUGCUUAACACCAACUUUGUACUGAACAAUGAGCGGGUGGAGUGAGGUGGUAAAGUCUGCUACUAGCAUCUUCUAUGUAGGUGUGAAGAGCCAUCACCCAUCUAUUCUACAUGCCCAUCACCAGUUACACUGCCAAAAAUAUCAAUGACUUCAGUAGUCACAGUUUCCCCAAAAGCAGGGGGGUCCAUAGAUAAAAUCCAUGUGUGUUUUCUGACGCCUGCCAGCUCUUCUGUCUUCCUUACAAUAAAAGCACACCUGUGGUUGCUAGAUGCCUGUUUCCUGGGGAUGUUUAUCUGUUCAUCCUAAACUGUCUUUCUAAGUCUGCUCUUUGACAAAGAACAAUAAAUCAGAAAAGGGUAUGCAGGAAGGAAGCAUGUGGAAGAAACAGAGUUCUUAGGGUACUUUUGCAAUAUCCUCAGCAACAUGACUCUAAUGUGUCUCAGUUUUACUCAUAAUUGUUAGUGAUCACAGUGGUCAUCGGCUGUACUUGUUCUCUGUGGUGUCAUUUUGUCAUAUCUGGCUCAAAACAUCGUCUCAGAGAGACAAUGAAAAAACUGCUCCAUGUGGAAGUCAGCUAUAAAUGCAAUAAAAAGUCUGUGUUUAUU